AGCACCGGCUAACUCCGUGCCAGCAGCCGCGGUAAUACGGAGGGUGCGAGCGUUAAUCGGAAUUACUGGGCGUAAAGCGCAUGCAGGUGGUUUGUUAAGUCAGAUGUGAAAGCCCGGGGCUCAACCUCGGAAUUGCAUUUGAAACUGGCAGACUAGAGUACUGUAGAGGGGGGUAGAAUUUCAGGUGUAGCGGUGAAAUGCGUAGAGAUCUGAAGGAAUACCGGUGGCGAAGGCGGCCCCCUGGACAGAUACUGACACUCAGAUGCGAAAGCGUGGGGAGCAAACAGGAUUAGAUACCCUGGUAGUCCACGCCGUAAACGAUGUCUACUUGGAGGUUGUGGCCUUGAGCCGUGGCUUUCGGAGCUAACGCGUUAAGUAGACCGCCUGGGGAGUACGGUCGCAAGAUUAAAACUCAAAUGAAUUGACGGGGGCCCGCACAAGCGGUGGAGCAUGUGGUUUAAUUCGAUGCAACGCGAAGAACCUUACCUACUCUUGACAUCCAGAGAACUUUCCAGAGAUGGAUUGGUGCCUUCGGGAACUCUGAGACAGGUGCUGCAUGGCUGUCGUCAGCUCGUGUUGUGAAAUGUUGGGUUAAGUCCCGCAACGAGCGCAACCCUUAUCCUUGUUUGCCAGCGAGUAAUGUCGGGAACUCCAGGGAGACUGCCGGUGAUAAACCGGAGGAAGGUGGGGACGACGUCAAGUCAUCAUGGCCCUUACGAGUAGGGCUACACACGUGCUACAAUGGCGCAUACAGAGGGCAGCCAACUUGCGAAAGUGAGCGAAUCCCAAAAAGUGCGUCGUAGUCCGGAUUGGAGUCUGCAACUCGACUCCAUGAAGUCGGAAUCGCUAGUAAUCGUGGAUCAGAAUGCCACGGUGAAUACGUUCCCGGGCCUUGUACACACCGCCCGUCACACCAUGGGAGUGGGCUGCAAAAGAAGUAGGUAGUUUAACCUUCGGGGGGACGCUUACCACUUUGUGGUUCAUGACUGGGGUGAAGUCGUAACAAGGUAGCGCUAGGGGAACCUGGCGCUGGAU
This 1035-nucleotide ribosomal RNA is filed under the name Vibrio parahaemolyticus. RNAcentral describes it as "bacterial SSU rRNA". It matches the Rfam family "Bacterial small subunit ribosomal RNA", at positions 488 to 1523 of the family's 1533-position model. Lineage: Bacteria; Pseudomonadati; Pseudomonadota; Gammaproteobacteria; Vibrionales; Vibrionaceae. The record is from RNAcentral.